ACCUAUCAAUUCAAGAGGACCAAAAAAAAUAACAUACGCAACACGUUACAAUACUACACAGUAAACACUACAGCCAUUAAUAUUAUAAGCCACACACAUAUAUAACCUACAAUAUUAAAAGAUUGCCAAACCUAAUAAACAAAUCAAGCUUAACGUAUAAAAUCGUAAAAUGUGCAAAAACACCAUACAGCGCUAACUAUAACAAGUACAAACAAAAAAUGUGCCAGCAGUUGCGGUAAAACAUUUUGUACUAAUUUUCCAGACAAAAGUUAAUAAUAAAAGUAAUUUUAAAAUACAGAAAAUAGAGAUAAAGAAAAAUAAGUAAAAUACCAAGAAAAAGAAAAACUGCCGUUAAAAAUUUUCUAGACUUAAAAAUAAACAAUAACAUCAAAGUAUAAACAACAAAAAGGAUUAGAUACCCUUGUAGCUUACACCCCAACCCUCAAACCAGAAAAGUAUAAUCGCAAGAUCCAAAAUUAACGAACUUGAGAGAGAACAAAAAAUUCAGAGGAGUGUGUGUUUUAAUUCGAAAUUACACGAAAACCUUACCUAAACAAUCAACAAGUAGCACAUCGCCGUAUUUAAUUUUUCUCAUAAAAAUAAAAACCUACUACUAAUUAAGACAAAUACCGGCCACCACACUCUUUAUGUAAAGGGCCAACAAGCACUACAAACUAUUACAAAACCCAAACCAAUAACAGUUCCAUGCCACAUGAAAAAGAAAAGGAGAAUCUGACAGUAAUUCCUUCAAUAAAAAUAGAAUGAACUUACCACAACUGCUACAUACCGCCCGUCAAUUCUUUAUACAACAUAAAAAAAACCUGCACCAAGCAACAAAAGUAUAAACAAUAACCUGACCAUACACCAAUAUCAAGUAUUUUCAGUAAAAAUAAGAAUAAGUCGUAACAAGGUAGCUAUACCUG
Molecule: ribosomal RNA, 923 nt
Filed under: Euretidae gen. sp. DVL-2014
Lineage: Eukaryota; Metazoa; Porifera; Hexactinellida; Sceptrulophora; Euretidae
Description: small subunit ribosomal RNA
Source: RNAcentral